UCUGACUCCUCUCCACCUCAUUCCUCUCUGAGGGUACCAACAUGAUGCCAUUGAACAUGGGACGUGAUGUGCAUAAUCAGCUCUUGGGAACCUUCAGGUGUGGGCUCCAGCAUCUCACUGGACCGCUGGGUUCCUAGUAGAGUGGAGGAAGUGUUCACUUAGCCACAACUUUGCCUCACCCUGGAGGCCAACUGAGGCAUGUUAGUAUACCCUCUCCCUGUAGUUCUGGAGUGAGGACAUUGGAAAGCUAAACAGUGGUGCUUGAUUCAAGGUGCUUGAUCUAAUUUCUGUGGCCUUUGUCUGAAGAGGGAGGUAUAAGAAUGUGUCAACCUGGAAUUCCCAGACUGGCUGAUUGGGUCACAUUUGGAAAGCUGCUGUGUGCACAUCUGAUUAUCCUGCACCUAGGACUAUGAUUCAUUUCUUCUUUCUCAGAACGUGCAUCAGUUUGUUAUAUUGAUUAGCCUGAUUGUCUGAAUAGUGUCUUUCUGUGUCAAAUCUAUGAAAGUUUGAACCCUAUAUGCUUUUGCUGAAUACUGUAUUUCCAAUACCUAGUAAUUAUACCUAGACUGACA
RNAcentral lists this long non-coding RNA (572 nucleotides) under Pan troglodytes (chimpanzee). Its description in RNAcentral is "long non-coding RNA NONPTRT007171". Lineage: Eukaryota; Metazoa; Chordata; Mammalia; Primates; Hominidae. The record is from RNAcentral.